This 201-nucleotide ribosomal RNA is filed under the name Triticum aestivum (bread wheat). Its description in RNAcentral is "partial small subunit ribosomal RNA". Lineage: Eukaryota; Viridiplantae; Streptophyta; Magnoliopsida; Poales; Poaceae. The record is from RNAcentral.
AUGGUUUGUGUAUAUAUUUUACAGAAACGUGAAAUCAAAGUUGGGGAUAAAGUAGCCGGAAGACAUGGGAAUAAAGGGAUCAUUUCCAAAAUUUUGCCUAGGCAAGAUAUGCCCUAUUUGCAAGAUGGAACACCUGUUGAUAUGGUCUUCAAUCCCUUAGGAGUACCCUCCCGAAUGAAUGUGGGAAACGUGAAAUCAUAA